RNAcentral lists this ribosomal RNA (253 nucleotides) under uncultured bacterium. RNAcentral's name for it is "partial 16S ribosomal RNA". It matches the Rfam family "Bacterial small subunit ribosomal RNA", at positions 524 to 776 of the family's 1533-position model. The record is from RNAcentral.
UACGUAGGGAGCAAGCGUUGUCCGGAAUCAUUGGGCGUAAAGCGCGCGUAGGCGGCCUCAUAAGUCCGUUGUGAAAGUCAAAGGCUCAACCUUUGAAAGCCGAUGGAUACUGUGAGGCUAGAGUUCGGAAGAGGCGAGUGGAAUUCCUGGUGUAGCGGUGGAAUGCGCAGAUAUCAGGAGGAACACCAAUAGCGAAGGCGGGUCUCUGGGCCGAUACUGACGCUGAGGAGCGAAAGCGUGGGGAGCGAACAGG